This is a long non-coding RNA of Bos taurus (domestic cattle), 404 nucleotides long. The record is from Ensembl. NCBI's taxonomy places the organism in Eukaryota, Metazoa, Chordata, Mammalia, Artiodactyla, Bovidae.
UGGCAAUAGCACCAGAUGGAAUGCAAAUAAUCCUGCAAGCAUACAAGGAUCCUGCCCCUUCUCUCUCCAACCCAUCAUUUGCCCAGAAGACUAAGGAGCCAAGAGGAAUAAGAAUUGGUCCUGCAGGAGUGAUGCUCUUGGGAUAUUGACAGGAUUCUGGGAUCAGAGAAUAUGUGGUAGUGGUUUAGUCACUAAGUUGUGUUUGACGCUUUGCAACCCUAUGAACUGUAGCCCACCAGGCUCCUCUGUCCAUAGGACUCUCCAGACAAGGAUACUGGAGUGGGUUGCCAUGCCCUCCUCCAGGGGCUCUUCCAGGCCCAGGAAUUGAACCUGGAUCUCUUGCAAUGCAGGCAGAUUCUUUACCUACUGAGCCACCAGGGAAGCACCUAAAGAAUGUAUACUAC